UGCUACCUUUUCUUCGCGUCUCCGGCAGCUUAUCUGGGUUUUGUACUCCACCUCACAACCUUGCCGGCUAACGAGUCAGUUGACUCAGCAAACGAGUUAAUAGUACCUAGUUACGCCAAACCUAUUCCUUCAAACACCCUUCCAACGUUCUGUAUCAAGAAAGACGAAUUUGGUUACUCGAGAUUUGUAAGUCACGCGCUAAGGUACAAAGAGACGAAGGGUAUUAUUGUAAAUACCUUCCAAGAGCUCGAACCCUACUCCAUUGACUCUCUGUCUUCCAGUUACAUGGAUUUGCCACCAAUUUACCCGGUUGGACCGAUAAUUGAUCAUGUUGGACCGGCUAAGUGGCACUCAAACCGUUCUAGGCAUGAAAAAACCAUCG
This 382-nucleotide long non-coding RNA is filed under the name Lactuca sativa (garden lettuce). RNAcentral describes it as "long non-coding RNA (LSAT_LNC001633)". The record is from RNAcentral. Lineage: Eukaryota; Viridiplantae; Streptophyta; Magnoliopsida; Asterales; Asteraceae.